This 468-nucleotide ribosomal RNA is filed under the name uncultured bacterium. RNAcentral describes it as "partial 16S ribosomal RNA". It matches the Rfam family "Bacterial small subunit ribosomal RNA", at positions 28 to 507 of the family's 1533-position model. The record is from RNAcentral.
GAUGAACGCUGGCGGCGUGCUUAACACAUGCAAGUCGAACGGAAAGGCCCUGCUUUUGUGGGGUGCUCGAGUGGCGAACGGGUGAGUAACACGUGAGUAACCUGCCCUUGACUUUGGGAUAACUUCAGGAAACUGGGGCUAAUACCGGAUAGGAGCUCCUGCUGCAUGGUGGGGGUUGGAAAGUUUCGGCGGUUGGGGAUGGACUCGCGGCUUAUCAGCUUGUUGGUGGGGUAGUGGCUUACCAAGGCUUUGACGGGUAGCCGGCCUGAGAGGGUGACCGGCCACAUUGGGACUGAGAUACGGCCCAGACUCCUACGGGAGGCAGCAGUGGGGAAUAUUGCACAAUGGGCGGAAGCCUGAUGCAGAAACGCCGCGUGCGGGAUGACGGCCUUCGGGUUGAAAACCGCUUUCGCCUGUGACGAAGCGUGAGUGACGGUAAUGGGUAAAGAAGCACCGGCUAACUACGUG